CUAAAGGAAACACUCUUGGUUACGCACUCACAAGAAUAUUGUAAAAGAAGGAUUGCUUUCUUUUUCUCUCCUUUCACAACUCUCUCACUCUCUCUUUCUGUCUCAAGCUCCCUCUAGCUCUCACUACAUGCAGCUAUAUUUGCUGAAGGUCGGUAUAGCUGCUUCUUCAAUUCUUCUCACAACCGUUCUAGUCUCCAUGUGAAGAAAAAGGGGCAGCCACCACAAUUGACUCUAGCUGCUCCAUGCCUUCUUGUUUACACAGCAUGCUUGUUUUUUUCUCUUCACGCAUGCUAUCUCUUUUGCCUUUCUUUCUUUGUCUUCCACAUGGUUUCAUUUUUCUUUGUCUUUCACAUGGUUUCAUCUUUCUUUAUUUCCUACAAGACAAAACCAUUAUGAUGAGGAGGGAACCUAACAGUUCUCUCUCACUUUAAUUCCUACACUGGCCAUUCACUCUUCAUUUUUCAGAGAGGUUUCCUCUGCAACUAGCUUUCAUUUCCUCUUCCAGUUUUCACAGUUCACAGUGGUUUUCCCCUUAAUUUUCGAUCUUGGUGGUUUCCAAUGGAUUUGAGCACCUCCCCAUCUCGUGCUUGGGCUGAAUCAGCUCCCCGUUGGAAUUACGAUAUUUUCUUGAGUUUCAGGGGUGAAGACACCCGCAUGGGUUUUGUCUCCCAUUUAUACCGUGAACUGCAGUACCGGCUAGUAUUCAAGACUUUCAAGGACGACCGAGAGCUUGAAAUCGGAGCUAGUAUCUCUCCGGAGCUCUUGAGAGCAAUCGAGCAAUCACAUCUCGCCAUCGUUGUUCUCUCACCCAACUAUGCUUCUUCCACUUGGUGCUUGGAUGAACUUUCCAAAAUUAUCGAGUCCAUGGAAACCGGAGAUAAGAGAAUUCUGCCGGUUUUCUUUAAUGUGGAUCCAUCCGACGUUCGACAUCAAAGGAGCAGCUUUGCUGAAGGAUUUGCUAAGCAUGAAGUAAAGUUCAGUGCCGACCCAGAGAAGGUGGAGAGGUGGAGAGAGGCUUUAAGAAAAGUGGCCAAUCUUUCUGGAUGGGAUAAAAAAAAUUAUAAAUGUGAAAGUGAGCUUAUAGAAGUCAUUGUGAAACGUGUGUGGGAGAAAAUGCUUCCUACGAUCACAUUGUCAGAUUCCAAAGAAAAGUUAGUCGGAAUUGAAUUUAUACUCAGGCAAAUGGGUUUGCUUUUAGCUCCUGAGGAGAAGGAUGUUCGAUUUAUAGGAAUAUGGGGUAUGGGUGGAGUGGGUAAGACUACCCUUGCUAGGCUAGUGUUCGAGAGAAUUUCCCAUUAUUUUGAAGUGGCUGAGUUUCUUGAUGUCCGGAAGUUUCAUGGUCCACUAGUUAAUCUUCAAAAACAGGUUCUUUCCCCAGUCUUGAAGGAAAAUGUUUCACAAGUUUGGGAUGAGUACAAAGGAACCUUUUUCAUUAGAAAAUGCCUGUCUAAUAAAAAGGUUCUUCUUGUUGUUGAUGAUGUUGAUAGCUGUGACAUCCUAGAAAAAGUGGCUCUAGAUAAAUCUUGGUUUGGUGAUGGAAGCAGAAUCAUUGUUACAACUAGAGAUAAACGUCUCCUCACCGAGCGUCGUAUAGAAUUAUCAUUUGAGCUAGGGCGGUUAAAUGACAAUAAUGCUCUUGAGCUCUUUAGUCACAAAGCCUUCGAAAAAGAUCAGCCAGAGGAAGGGUUUUUAGAGCUUUCCAAGUGUUUUGUAGAUUAUGCCAAAGGGCUCCCAUUAGCUCUUAAAACUCUGGGAAGUUCUUUGUAUCAGAGAAAGCUAGAGGAAUGGAAUAGUGCAUUGGAGUCACUAAAGAGAAUUCCUAAUCCGACAAUUUUCGAUUCGCUCAAAUUAAGUUAUGAUGCCCUGAUUCAUUUGCAACAGGAGAUUUUCUUGGACAUUGCAUUCUUCUACAAGAGGGUGGAGAAGGGGCGAGUUAAUCAACUGCUAGAAUAUUGUUAUGACUAUAAUUGUCUUAUUGAGAUAAAUGUUCUUAUCGAGAAAUCUCUCUUAACUAUUGAUCUGGACAACAAUGUCGGGAUGCAUGGUUUGAUAGAAGAAAUGGCAUGGGAAAUUGUUUGUCAACACUCUCGUGAGGAGCCUGGUCUUCGCAGCCGUUUGUGUCAUCGUAAGGACAUCUUUCUUGUAUUCACGGGAAAUACGGGAACAGAAGCAAUCAGAGGCAUACGGUUAUGUUUACCUUGUUUAGAAGAGGCAGAUUCAAGCUGGAAUUUUGAAUGCUUCUCUAGGAUGCGCAAACUAAAGUUUCUUGAAUUUGAUAAUUUAAUAAUUAGUUCAGGCCCCAAAUUCCUCCCAAAUUCCUUGAGAAUUCUCAUAUGGAAUUGGUAUCCUUCCAAAUCUCUUCCAGCUAGUUUCCGGCCAAAUAUGCUUGCUGCACUGAAGAUGCAAAGAAGCAAUCUUGUCCGGCUUUGGGAUGGAAGACAGGACUUGCCUUCCUUGAAAGAAAUAGAUCUUAGUGAGUCCAAAAACUUGAAGGAGACCCCAAAUUUCACAGGUAUUCCGAAUCUUGAGGUGUUGUGGCUUGCAGAAUGUGACGGUUUAGUUAAGGUCCAUCCAUCCAUUGCAGUCCACAAAAAGCUUAAACGGUUGACACUCCAAAAAUGUAAAAAUGUUAGGAGUUUCCCAAGUAAGAUUGAAAUGGAUUCUCUCGAGUUUCUCAGCCUUGAUGACUGCUCAAAAGUAAAGAUUCCAGAAUUUGGAGAAGGGAUGAAAAAUUUGUUUAGACUUGAGAUAUCUGGGACCUUAACUGAGGAACUACCUUCAUCAAUUGAACAUCUGGUUGGCCUUACUUAUCUGAUUAUAUGUGAUAGCAAAAGUCUCCAGAGUCUCCCGGGUACGGCAGUUUUUAAACUGAAGUCUCUUCAAGGACUCAAUAUGCGUGGAUGCCCAAAGCUUAAGAAACUUGCAGAAAAUAUGGGGGAGAUAGUGUCCGAAAAACCGCCAGCCUUGCGACGUUUAUCAUCUAUGAAAAGUAAGCUUAUGGCCUCUACGGGCUUAUUUAAAAGAAAGAGUCCAGAGCCUUUGUGCUUGCCGCCAACUCCAAGGGCUUUACCGUCUUUGCAGUCGUUAUAUCUAAAUGAUUGUAAUUUGUGUCAAGGAGUUAUCCCCGACGAUAUUGGCUACUGCUUUCCAUCUCUACAAUACUUGUUUGUUGGAGGAAAUAAUUUUGUUAGUCUUCCUGCAAGCAUUAAAUGCCUCUCUCAGCUUCAGGUCAUUAAUUUGAAGAGGUGCAAAAGGCUUGAACAAUUACCGGAUCUCCCAUCGAAAGAUGCAUUAGAAGUAUGGGCAGACGAUUGUGAUUCCUUAAAAAUGUUGUCAGAACCAUCGCAGCAGGGCACAAUCACCAAUUUGAAGUUCUUUCGCUUAACAACUGUCAAUUGCUUUGGAUUGAUUGACAAUGAAGGCUUCAAUAAUCGAAUAUUUUCAAUGCUAAGGAGAUUGGCCACUCAGGGGAUCUCUCCCGAGUUAUUUGACUCAUCCCACUAUGGUGCUCCUCCUCCGUCACUCGAUAUUGUAAGUCCUGGAAGUAAGAUUCCAGACUGGUUCGAUAUUCAAAGCGAGGGAGAUUCAUUGACUGCUCAGCUGGCUCCGGAUCGGGAAUCAGAGUUGAUGGGCAUUGUGUUUUGUGUUGUUUUUGCCGAUCAGAAAGAUCCUGUCACUCUCGAGUCUAAUCAAUUGACAAUUGACUGUUCAUCGCCAGCGAUUCAUCAAGGAUACUAUCAAUUUCUGCCUUUAGCAGACCCAAGGCAUAUGAUGGGAGAUCAUCUUUGGGUGGUUUUUAUGCCUCAUGGUCGAAUCAAGUAUACCACAAGCUGCUCUAUUAGGUUCUCAUUCGACGCGUAUUAUUACCGAGGGAUUACUAAUGAUUAUAUUUCAUGCUCGACUUAUCACGGCAGGAUUACUGAUUAUAUUCCAUGCUCGAAUUGUGUGAAGAGGUGUGGGGCUCGAUUGUUGUACGAGCAAGAUUUGAAAAACCUCCUCAAUGGAAUGGAACAACCAACAUCUUGAAGCGGAGUCGUGAAUAUUGUGACUCGGAGGAGGCAGAGGCAGAGGCAGAGGAAGGUCCAAGUUCAAUUGCAAAGUGGUAGCUCUAACAAAGAAUCAUUUUUCAAAACACUCAAGGCAUGAAUACUAAUUCUCUGGAGAGGAACUACGUACCCCUUUCUGCUUCUGAUUUUCGUACAGCUGGGCUGCUAGUGGUCUCUCUGGCGAUAAUAGUCUUCCGCUAUUCUUCCUUUGAGUACUUGAGGAGCCCGUCCACAACAAGAUUUGUGGCACAUUGGCCGGGGCUAUCUCUGCCUCCGUCACGAUGCCACGUUGAUGUUGUUAAGACGAGGCUGAUCAAGAUGUUGAUUUGAUUGGUUUGAGAUUUCUCUUCCAUAUUCCUUUUCAUUUGUUGUCCUCAUUCCUUCUACUGCUCAAAUUCAUUCCUACACAUAGUAAAUUAUUGUAGCAAUUUUUAGUGUCCUGUAAAUUAAUUUUCUAAGAGUAAUGAGUAGAAGACUAGAAGUGGAAGUCGAAGACCAUGAACCAGUUCAUUACUUUCUAUGUUCUCUUUCACGAAAUGUUAAUGCAUAAUGCCGUAGAGAUAUCAUUACUUUCUAUGUUCUCUUUCACGAGUUGUAUUCAUCUUACUAUUUAUAUCGUUCCUCUUUUAUUACUGCAAUAUGUAAAUCAUUCCACUUUGUCUCUGUAUUUCUAGAAUUCUGUUUUCUGUUAGCAACAAAAUAUGGAAAAUGAUAGUACUGUGGCGUAGGACAAAAGGCAGGGGUGGAGGGAGCAUAGCAGCAGCGUACUCUGCUGCACCCCCUGAACCAUAGGAAAGGGCAAAAACAUAAAUA
Molecule: RNA transcript, 4859 nt
Organism: Rosa rugosa (rugosa rose)
Lineage: Eukaryota; Viridiplantae; Streptophyta; Magnoliopsida; Rosales; Rosaceae
Gene name: TMV resistance protein N-like
Exons: 6
Source: RefSeq, a predicted model, not a curated record